AGGUGGUGGAACCACAGAGCUAAAUCCUGGCUGAAAUUGACUUUAAAAAUAACUAGGAAAACUAUUGGUGGAGAGUUAUCAGUUUUCUGGAGGAGAGAAGACUUUUCUAAGGAUUAAAGGCAAAGAAGAGCAUCAGUGAAAAUGCUCACAGUCCCAUGAGAUGGUAAGCGCCCUGUUCCCCAACCCCUGAUGCCCAGCAAUCACUCGGUUACUAUUUGUGAUACCAGUUAAAUGAAUAGCUCAGCAAUUUUCUUUGCUGGAUGCUUGGCAGUGUGGAAGGUCUGAGGGAAGGGGGAUGGGCUAUGCUGGCACUUUUUGGCAUAGUUCUCACUGGCAGGGGCAGCCUGGGUCUCUGCAGGAGCCCAGCAGCAUCUUCUGAGUAGGCAGAGUCCCUGUGGAAAGCCUCUUCCUUCCCAGCCUGCUUCUUCAGCCCCUCUAGCCUCUGCUAUUCCUGGGGAAUCAAGAGAGAGCACUGACAACAGGAAGCAGUUCUCUAGAAUCCUUGGCAACAAGCGACGCUGCUACGCAAGACAGAGAAAGGGCCGAGCCACUCUGAUUCCUUCACCUUCCGAAAGGCCAGCAGCCUCUGACACACUGUGCGGAAGUGAGCACUUCUGAGAGAGCAUGGGACACCAGGGCCUCACUAUGCAGUUCAGGUUGGUCUUGAAGUCACUGUGUAGCCCAAGCUGGCCUCAAAUUCAUGGUGAUUUUCCUGCCUCAACCUCCUAAGUGCUGGGAUCACAGGCAUGCGCCACCACACCCGGCUUAAGGAAGCAGCAGAAACUAAUUCAGAUUGGACAGAUGGAUGGAUUGAUGGACCAAUGGACAGACAGAUCAACAGGCAGGUAAGUAGAUAAACAAGCAUGUCUUCAACUUAAAAUCACGUCUGAAUAAAAUUACAGGUCCCAAGUCAAUUUUGCCUGGAGUGAGACACAACACUUGCUCCCCACCCCAAAGUCACUCAAUGAACACACCUUAUCAAUGUAAAGUUCUCACUGAGGUUCUCUCAUCCCAAGCCUACAAGUUCCUCUGAUCUGGGAAUUCUGCAGACUCCGUCGUCACAGGGUCAGGAGCCUCCUCUCUGAAUCUGCUGUCUGGGUGCUGAACACAUCUGAUCUUCAGGUCCUUGGUGGCAAAUGGGG
This 1142-nucleotide long non-coding RNA is filed under the name Heterocephalus glaber (naked mole-rat). RNAcentral's name for it is "lncRNA (ENSHGLG00000050070.1)". Lineage: Eukaryota; Metazoa; Chordata; Mammalia; Rodentia; Bathyergidae. The record is from RNAcentral.